GUCGUAAGUGUCGUAUGGGUAAAAAUUUUCGCAGAACUGUCAAACCAUGCGUCAAUAAAUUCUCUCAGCGAAAACAUGUCUAUACAAAACUAUUGGAAAUAUAAACUAUCCUUUCUCUCAAGUUGGACUAAACUGCACUCCAUGAAGUAAUCCCCAUCAAAAUCCAUUCAAUACUUUAGGAGUUAACUGGAAACAAACAUCAGGACACUGGAUUUAUAUGGUAGGUGUCACGGACAGCCCUCUAUGCAGAGGUUGCCUGGGGGCAGAGGAAACAGCCGCUCACGUUCUGCUGGAAUGCAUUGAGGUGGCAAACUACAGGGCGAAGCACCUGGGGUCACCGGGCGCUCUUCGGGAAGUCUUCCGCGACAUUAAGAGGUUGGGUGACUUCUUGGAGGAGCUUGGCUGGUUGGAGUAGCCUCUACCACCCUCGCACGCAAAAUAGGCGCAUAUGACGUCGAGUUGCGGAAAGCGCCCGUAUGAAGAAGAAGAAGAAGAAGAAUCGCUUAUUCUGAGGAUCAAAAUGUCAAAACAAUAAUAGACCCACUUAUCAUACCGCAAUAAUAUGUUCAUGAACCUGAGCUUCGGUUUUCCUUUACAUGCGCUUUCCGAUCACCAUUAUUAUUAUUACACGAGAACGAAAAUCCGUCGACAAUAUCAUUUUG
Long non-coding RNA from Leptidea sinapis, 662 nucleotides. RefSeq lists it as uncharacterized. The transcript has 3 exons. NCBI's taxonomy places the organism in Eukaryota, Metazoa, Arthropoda, Insecta, Lepidoptera, Pieridae. The record is from RefSeq and is a predicted model, not a curated record.